Long non-coding RNA from Syngnathus typhle (broad-nosed pipefish), 758 nucleotides. RefSeq lists it as uncharacterized. The transcript has 3 exons. NCBI's taxonomy places the organism in Eukaryota, Metazoa, Chordata, Actinopteri, Syngnathiformes, Syngnathidae. The record is from RefSeq and is a predicted model, not a curated record.
CAAAAAAUCCUCAUUACAAAGCAUAAAAGAUGAGCGUGACUGGAGAUAGUGCUGAGUAUGUGUGACAUCAUCAUGACCUCAUGUGAGGCUCUCGCUAAAUCGAUGGGUCGCAGGAAGAAUCAUGAGGGGAAUUCUCAGCAGAGCCCAAAAUAAAGAAAACGCGGGUGAUAGCGAGCCAGAAUUCCUUUGCUGACUUCACAUGUCCCUGACAUCAGCCCGCUUACUCGCUUAGGCCCAUGAUGUCAGUUGUUUACCGCUGCACAGGGGCCGUGGAGGGGCUACUGGAUGAGUAAGCCUCAGAGUGAGAGAUGAAAAGCAGUCAAUCGAGUGAGAGUGUAUUUACAUGCGCGAGUUACCAUCACCACGGUUACCAUGCAACAAUCUGGAACUUGGCGCGUGCCAACGGCCCCCCAGGCACGACUUUGGAAGAUCGAGAUGAGAAGCCGAGGACAAACGAUGACUCGGUUGGCAGCUGCAGGUCAGAAGGGAAGGCGCUAUCGGCGUCUGUCAGCGCAGUGAAACGCAGAUCCCCGAUAUGGAGCACGGCGGAGAGCAACAUGAACACGGAAUCCACUUCCUGGUUGACAGAGAUGGUCAACAAUCUAAUGUGACAGACCCUCGGCCAUCAGGUAGAAGAUGUUGAAGUUGUGUUGGUGAAGAGGACACUGGACCACUCGAGACUUCUCUAGCAUGUACGUGUACACACGUGCUGCAACGUCAAGACAGGUUCACAUAAAUAAAUCUGUAGUAAAUUGUGA